RNAcentral lists this ribosomal RNA (111 nucleotides) under Acanthosepion pharaonis. The record is from RNAcentral. Lineage: Eukaryota; Metazoa; Mollusca; Cephalopoda; Sepiida; Sepiidae.
UUACGGCCACAUCUCGUUGAAACACCGAUUUCCAUAGGAUCACCGAAGUUAAGCAACGUCGAACCUGGUCAGUACCUAGACGGGUGACCGCUUGGGAAAAACAGAUGCAGU